UCGGAAUCACUGGGCUUAAAGGGCGCGUAGGCGGGCGGUCAAGUCUGUGGUGAAAUCCUUCGGCUCAACCGGAGAAUAGCUGGAGAUACUGGCCGUCUCGAGGGGGGUAGGGGCAUGUGGAACUUCCGGUGGAGCGGUGAAAUGCGUAGAUAUCGGAAGGAACGCCGGUGGCGAAAGCGACGUGCUGGACCCUUUCUGACGCUGAGGCGCGAAAGCCAGGGGAGCAAACGGG
RNAcentral lists this ribosomal RNA (232 nucleotides) under uncultured bacterium. Its description in RNAcentral is "partial 16S ribosomal RNA". It matches the Rfam family "Bacterial small subunit ribosomal RNA", at positions 545 to 776 of the family's 1533-position model. The record is from RNAcentral.